ACUGGAUCCCUAGUAGCGGCGAGCGAAGCGGGAAGAGCUCAAAUUUAUAAUCUGGCACCUUCGGUGUCCGAGUUGUAAUCUCUAGAAAUGUUUUCCGCGCUGGACCGCACACAAGUCUGUUGGAAUACAGCGGCAUAGUGGUGAGACCCCCGUAUAUGGUGCGGAUGCCCAGCGCUUUGUGAUACAUUUUCGAAGAGUCGAGUUGUUUGGGAAUGCAGCUCAAAUUGGGUGGUAAAUUCCAUCUAAAGCUAAAUAUUGGCGAGAGACCGAUAGCGAACAAGUACCGUGAGGGAAAGAUGAAAAGCACUUUGGAAAGAGAGUUAACAGUACGUGAAAUUGUUGGAAGGGAAACGCUUGAAGUCAGACUUGCUUGCCGAGCAAUCGGUUUGCAGGCCAGCAUCAGUUUUCCGGGAUGGAUAAUGGUAGAGAGAAGGUAGCAGUUUCGGCUGUGUUAUAGCUCUCUACUGGAUACAUCUUGGGGGACUGAGGAACGCAGUGUGCCUUACGGCGGGGGUUUCGACCUCUUCACACUUAGGAUGCUGGUGGAAUGGCUUUAAACGACCCGUCUUGAACMACGGACAC
This 582-nucleotide ribosomal RNA is filed under the name Rhodotorula sp. RNAcentral's name for it is "partial large subunit ribosomal RNA". It matches the Rfam family "Eukaryotic large subunit ribosomal RNA", at positions 68 to 664 of the family's 3401-position model. The record is from RNAcentral. Lineage: Eukaryota; Fungi; Basidiomycota; Microbotryomycetes; Sporidiobolales; Sporidiobolaceae.